Molecule: non-coding RNA, 7833 nt
Organism: Podarcis lilfordi (Lilford's wall lizard)
Lineage: Eukaryota; Metazoa; Chordata; Lepidosauria; Squamata; Lacertidae
Source: the annotation of a GenBank genome assembly
UACGCUGGUCACUGCAUUGAAAGGGGGCAUGUACGCUGGUCACUGUUUUGAAGGGGAGUGAAGAACACACACACACAAAAAGGUAACUUGUUAAUUUAACGUUUAUUUCUAUGAGGAGGAGUAAUUCUGAGGGGUCAAACAAAGAAAUAAUAAAAAAGUGACAAAAAAGUUAUUUUUAUAAUGACGAGUUUUGCAGCUCCCAGUUUUUUUUUUCUUCGGAAAUGGGUCCAAGUGGCUCUUUUUGUCUUAAAGGUUGCAGACCCCUGAUCUAGUCCCACCCCUUGCAAUGCAGGAAUAUGCAGCUGUCCCAUAGGGGGAUCAAACCUGCAACCUUAGUGUUAUCAGCACCACACUCCAACCAACAGAGCUAUCCAGGCUGACAUUUUGCCUUCACCGCUCCCUACUGUGUUGUGAUCAUUGCCCUUCCCUGCCCUACAUAUAAACUUCCCCUUCCCAUUAGCAGACUUUGUGACAAAGCACUAAUUGUACACUGCUCAUCAGUUGCGUUCCUUGAUGCACAUUUAUAGAGGGCUUUCCAUUUGCAGAGCAGCUUGUGUUGUAUUUGUUUGUUGUAUUCAUACCCCACCUCUUAACCAAAAAGGUUAAUGAGGCAGCUCACAGCAUAUAAAAACAAAUCACUAUAAAGCAUUUGGAAGCGAGAGAGAAAACAAAUAAUAAGGAAAGCAAUCAGUAACAGAAAUCAAAUAAACAGCAGCAUCAAAACAUGUUAAAAGCAGCAGGGGGGAAAUGGUGCAUUUAUAUUCUUUCUAAAGGUGAGCAAAGGAGGAUCUGGAUGAAGGGACAGGAGGCAUUCUCUGUACAAGGUGCCAUAAUAAAAAAGACCCUGUUCUUCAUUGUCACCCUUCUCUUUUCAGAAGCUGGGGCCAUGCUCAUCUUAAUGGUCAAGCAGCCUUGUGUGAGUACAAGCAGGGGUGGGAGACCUCCAUUUAUUGCUGGGUUGCAACUUCCAUCUUCCUUGACUGUUGGCUGUGCUAACCAGAGCUGGUGGGAGCUAUAGCCAAACAUAAUGCCAAGGUUGCAGGUUUGAUCCCCAUAUGGGAGACCCGUGUAGAGAACAUUGCAAUCAAUCAAUCAAGACUUUGGGCCCAGCUCUACCAUUAAACAGAGUGAGGCAGAUGCAUCAGGCAGCAGAGGAGAUGUGGGCUUUCUUGCCUCACAAACCAAACCAAUUGGUCUGAUUAUGUAUCUUGGCUUUGGUGGGUGAAGGAGGGAGGCACAUGUUGCUUCCUCUCCAGCAGCAGGCAGGGCCUGCUAGAUAUGCAGCAGUUCUCACAACAAUCCUGUAAGGCCAGUAUAUUUAUUGCGAGGGAGGAGGGCUGAAGCUGGGAUAACGGUGUCUUGCCUAAGGCAGCCUAGCGAGAUGUUAAUUCCGGUGAGUUGUGAACCAACAACUUUCUAAAUUGUAUACCUAUUCACUAUGUUGGCAUCCAUGCUGAAGAGGGCGGACUCUAUCCAUAUACAUCUCCACAUGUGAUUCUGAGCCUCUGGAUUCACAUCCCAUAGCAGGUGACUCAGGGUUCAUUCACACUUCACUUGUCCCACAUCUAGAAAGCAUGGGGCAGAGAUGUUUCCCUUGUCGCAUACUCUCUAGGAACAGUUCCAAGUGGUUUUCCAUUUGUGCUGCCACUCUCCCCGGAAAAACACACUCUUUACCAUUAAAUGGUCAACCAGCAAAAAGCCCGAUUGACCUUUACUCCAAUUCAACAGUAAAAAGUGGGAAAGUGGCAGAACAAGUGGAAGCGUGGAUGAAUGCUCAGAGGCAUGUAACUUUCAAUCUGCUGGCACACCUUGCUGCCAGUCUGUAAAAAAAAUUGAAACUGGAGGUGUCAUGAGAAAUGAUGUCAACAAAAGUGGGUACCCCUGUUCAAUUCCUCAUGAGUACAUUCAAGCCAGCAAGCGUCACUUUGACUCAGACAUUAAGUAUCUGCUUCCACGUCCUCCACUACCACCAACCCCAAGAGCCAAACUAUCUUGGGAUAUUGGGGGUAAAAAAUGGAGGCAGGUAGUGGUUUCUUGCUUGAAAGAAAGUAGCAGGUGUAUCAUAUCCCUGGCAGAGCAUUCUUUCUUACUGAGGAUGUAACUGGGAAAGCGCAGCAUCCCUAGAAGGAAAAUGAUGCUGUUCCAUUUCUACCAGGGAGAAAGCCCUUUGGCAUCUAUAUGGUCUUCUCCCUGAUGGAAAUUAGUGCCUAUAGAACCACAUGGGAGUGCUGGGAGCUGUCGUCUGGGUCCCAUUCCAGCAAGAAAGGAUCCUCCACCUGUUACUGCCCAUGCAUCACAUAUGAGUAGCUUCAAGGCUCCUUUCCCCCACCAAAAGGAAGCAUUAUGGGCCCUUGUAGUGGAGGGAGUGGAAAAAUCAAUUUGGCCUCUUGCAAAGUCUCAAGUCUCAAGCACUCAAGCAAAGUUUUGGGCUUUUGCUAGUGCUCAGGCCAAUAUCUGGCAAACACUCGAUCCAUUUCAAGCAAAGGGAUGCUUGUGCAUCCUUCUUUGAAAUGGGAGAAAGUUGCUAGUUUUGCAUAGUGCAUGUGAUUAGCCAAACGCCACCUUCUGACUCAAAAGCCUGAAUUUGAGUUCUGAGCAGAAAACUUUGUAAAUGUUGCUGGAUUUGAAGAGCUUUUUUAUCCAAGGGCAUGCAUAACACUUCCUUUACCAAAAAAAAUUGUACCCUAUGCAAAACAAAUGCACACACACAGAGACACACACAUUAGAUAUACCCAGAAAUGGGCUGUUAGUAUGCAAGAGGCUCCCUGCUGCUGCAUAAUCUGUUAUCACUCACUCUCAGUGCACUUUAUUCAAAGUGUGCACCCAACCUUAGCUUUGCAAAAAAAUAUGCAAAGGUCAAAAUAACAAAUUGCUUAGAGAUUAUAAAAAUCCCAUUUCCCAUUCGCUGGAAUCUAUUCCCAGGAAGCUUCUAGUAAUUUGUUGUUUUCACCUUUCUAUAUAUUUUCAUUCUCUGCUUUGCUGAGGAAACCUGCAAUAUGAGGAUCCUUUCAUUUCCUCCUGCUGCAAAAGUUAGGAUUAUUUUUUUUAAAAAAAAUUAUGAUGAUGAUGACAGGGGAAACCCAUGUAAAACUUUUGGGUUCCAAUCCACUUAAAAUUAGUCAAGACUAACCCUUUGAAAGAGACACGGGUGGUGCUGUGGGUUAAACCACAGAGCCUAGGACUUGCCAAUCAGAAGGUUGGUGGUUCGAAUCCCCGUGACGGGGUGAGCUCCCGUUGCUCAGUCCCUGCUCCUGCCAACCUAGCAGUUCGAAAGCACGUCAAAGUGCAAGUAGAUAAAUAGGUACCACUCCGGCGGGAAGGUAAACGAUGUUUCCGUGUGCUGCUCUGGUUCGCCAGAAGCGGCUUAGUCAUGCUGGCCACAUGACUCGGAAGCUGUACGCUGGCUCCCUCGGCCAAUAAAGCGAGAUGAGAGCCACAACCCCAGAGUCGGCCACGACUGGACCUAAUGGUCAGGGGUCCCUUUACCUUUAACCCUUUGAAAAGAAUAGAACAAGCUGAUCAUGACUAAUGCCAUUGUUUCCAAAUGGGACAAUGUCAAAUUGGACAUGACACCAGACAUAAGAGAAUCUCCCAAGCACAAGAGAUGGGUUAAAGAAGUCACCCCACCCCACCUCCCAGAGCAGCUAGCUCAGUCUCUGCACCUGGCUAGUGUUUCCAGGCUGCUUCAAAGGGUCUUCCAGGACCUUUUAAGCCCACCCCAGGCUAACUCUCAGCUACCUUUCUCCCCACCUCCCUGGCCACCAAAGCAAAUAGCAUCUUGCCUCACCAUGUCAUCUGUCUUGUUUCAGAUAAGCUCAUGUGUUACCUGACAAUUAAGAAGCAAAGAAAAUGGAUAUGAACACCCGUAAGGGACAAGGGAUGCAACUUGCCACCCUACUAUAGCAUGAGUUGGUUGGGAUACAACAGAGCUGUAAUUGAGAUUCUGAUAAGGGAAGGGUACCAUUUAGUAAAGUGUUCCCUCAAACAGUGUGAAUGAUCUGACAAGGGAGAAGAAUGCCAGGGUGGAAUUAAUCACUACCUGAAAACAAUUUCACACUAGACUAAACAGGGGAAAGAUUUUUUUAAAAAACCUCAGAUGCCUUGUAUGGACUGUUUGUAACCCAAGCUUUGGUAAUAAAACAAACAAAAAAUACACAAUUAACAUGAACUGUGACCAAGAGGCUCUCAAUAAGUAAAGACAACAUUCCAAAGGCAGAAAGUGUAAGGAGCAGGCCUAUUCUCGUGAUAAAUGUUUACUGAAAAUGCUGUGGUUGCUCCAUAAUUUCUCCUCAAUUUCUUUCCUCCCAUGAAUUCAAGAUGACCCUACCUGCCCACGGACUGUCUCACCAGAGUGGUGCAUGCUCUAGUCAUUUCCUGCUUGGACUACUGCAAUGCGCUCUAUGUGGGGCUACCUUUGAAGGUGACUUGGAAACUGCAAUUAAUCCAGAAUGUGGCAGCCGGAAUGGUGACUGGGAGUGGCCACUGAGACCAUAUAACACUGGUCCUGAGAGAUCUGCGUUGGCUCCCAGUACGUUUCCGAGCACAAUUCAAAGUGUUGGUGCUGACCUUUAAAGUCCUAAACUGCCUCUGUCCUGUAUACCUGAAGGUGCAUCUCUACCCCCAUCAUUCCACCUAGACACUGAGGUCCAGCACCAAGGGCCUUCUGGCGGUUCCCUCACUGUGAGAAGUGAGGUUAGAGGGAACCAGUCAGAGGGCCUUCUCGGUAGUGGUGCCUGCCCUGUGGAAUACCCACCCGUCCGAUGUCAAGGCAAUAAGCAACUAUCUUACUUUUAAAAGACAUCUGAAGGCAGCCCUGUUUUAAUGCUGUAUUGUGUUUUUAAUAUUCAGUUGGGAGCUGCCCAAAUUGGCUGGGGAAGCCCAGCCAGAUGGGCAGGGUAUAAAUAUAUUAUUAUUAUUAUUAUUAUUAUUAUUAUUAUUAUUAUUAUUAUUAUAUUAAUUAUCUGUGGUUCUCCCCCUCCUCAUUUUAUCCCCCCAACAACCCAGUGAGGUAUGUUAGGCUAAAAGAGACAGUGACCAAUGUCACCCAGCGUGCUCCUUGAUCGAGUGGGGAUUUGGUCUCUCAGGUUCUCAUCCAACACCCUAAACACUAACAUGCCACGAUACCUUGCAUUUUACAGACAUCAAUGACUCAAGUGGAAUGCUGAUUGACAGAUGACAUUCCAUGUAUUAUUUGACAGUGACCUGCUUCUGAUAUUUCAUAUUUGACGCCUGCCAAAAUCAUCAAGAGGUGGAGAAACGUCACUGGAGGAAUCAUUCCAGCUGACCCUCCACCCUCUGCCUUUGGAAGCCUUACAAUACUUGUGAGGGCCCUUUGACCCUUCAGAUGUUGCUGGUUUACAAUGCCUGCCAUUCCUCGCCAUUGGACAUGCUUGCUGGGACUGAUGGGAGUUAUAGAUCAGUAACAGCUGGAGGGCGGAAUGUUCCCAGCGCCUGUCUUCCAGGAAACUGUUGCAGGAGAGGGACUGUGAGCAAUGUCAUGGGAUGAAUGUCUACCUGAAGGGUAAUGUCAAAGGGGCAGCAGCCCUUUGGGAAACCAGGGCCUAGACAUCUGAUCACACUACUGUAGCUUGAUUCUUGGCUAAUUUGUAGCAGACAAAGCAGCAGGGACUGUUAUAUCCAGGACCAAGAUGAAACUGUUCAAGCUCUCUUGCUAUUUUUGCAGCUUCCAGCAGGUCUAAUGCUGCCACAUAUUAUCGUAUUGAAAUGUUAGGGGUUUCAAAUUUUGUUACAUUUGUCGUAUGCUGCUAUUUUACUGUUGCUGUUACUAUGAAAUUAUUCUUGCAGGUGUUUAUUUUGUGGUGCAUUCUUUUUCUCAGUAUUGUAAGCCACCUUGAACAUAAUCUUUUGGAUGGAAAAUGCAGCAUUCAAAUAAAGCAGCAGUGAUGAUGGUGAGACACCGACAGAUUCGGAGAUCUCAAUUUAUGAAGUGCAAUUUCAGAGUCACCUGGAAAAUUCUAUUUUUGGCUUUGAAAUUCAACAUUCACCAGCUAAAUGGCAAAGCUGAAAAUCCCAGCACAUAGUAAAUAUUUUUCAAAUAUUAGUUUUAAUUGUUCACAUAGAUAGCAGGGAAUACAAGAAGAUGGGGGUUGUAAUCUGCUAAAUCCUACUGAGAGUAGACCCACUGAAGUUAAUGAAUCUAAAUUAGCCAUGUCUAUUAACCUCAGCGGAUCUGCUUGGCAUAAAACUUAGUUGAAUACCACCUGUUAUGUUAUGUUAUGUUAUGUUAUGUUAUGUUGUUAUGUUAUGUUUGUUUUAUCUUUUAUGUUUUAAGUUUUAUGUUACUUCUAGUGAUGUGAAACAAAUCCUCUGUUUGUAGGAAUUUGAAAAAGAGGGGGGAAUUAACCAUAAUGAUAGGAGGGGGGCCUGACAAGGAGGAUAGUAACCGUUGUGAGCAGAUCAGUGAGUCAUGAAAAGAGAAAAGCUCCAACUUUAAGAAACAAAGCGUAUGCACAAGCAUUUUUUAAAAAGCCAAUAACAGCACUUUUUUUUUUUUUGCAGGAUCGAUCAGCUGCACUUCAGUAGUCACAGCUUGCUUCUUCCUUUGCAACAAUGCCUGCCAUUAAAGGAUGCACAAAGUCAGGUGAAGGAGGCAAAGAACUUCUUAAGUGAAAAAGACACCUUGCUUCAGGUUCAGAAAAGGCGAACUGCUCUCCUGGUGUGUGUUUUAAAAUGUAUUUUUAAAGCCUAGAUACUUUCUGAUUUUUUAAAAAAUUAUUGAAAACACUUCAUACAGUGUGAUCUGCACACCCAUUGGACACUGGCUCCUCCUAUGUUCUUUUGUUCUUAAGUUUUAAAAAUGUGAGGGAAGAGAACUGAAACUUCCUCCAUUCCAACAAGGCCCAAAAUGGAGAGCAACUUUUAUCAUUUAGUAUACCACCCUAUCUAUAUCAAUAGAUAUAGAUAUAUAGCAUUGAUAGAUUCUUCCUUAUUUCUUGCACAAUGUCUCCCCAGAAGGCUCCCCUCCCCCUCUUUCCCUUUACUUUGACAUGUCCUUUUAUUCAUAUAUAUAUAUAUAUAUAUAUAUAAGCAGAGGGCAAGUUUUUCCUUUUGGCCUUUCACCAAAAAACAACAAUGCCACACUCACCUUCCCACCAGAAAAACUGGGGAAGGGCAGAGGUGGGGGGGGGGGGAGAGAAGGAGAGAGUCAAUGAAUCAAACUUCCAAUAACUGUAUGGAGUAGCUGCAAUUUAUGCAUGCAAGAUAGAGGGAUCUGGAAGGGAGAGAGGGAAAGAACCUGGCUGUGAGUAAUGAUGAGGGCGAGGGUAUCUCUUGCAAAUAAAUUCUGUUGCUGUUGCGUGUUCAGCGCCUGGGCAGUGCAUAGGAGGGGGGUGGUAUUCCGUGCCAAAUGUGUGUAUAUAAAACGCUUCCCAUCUUUCAAUUAGAUUCCUGAUGGGAUCUGACCAGCCUUAAGUUUUGCCUCCUGGCAGAACGGACACAUCGGCUUCAUUCAUCCUGCCCUGUGAAUAACGCAGCCUCCAACGAGGCUGUAAAUCAUUUUAAUGGGAUCCUCAGAUUCAGAUAUUAGGAGCUUCUAAUUUAUCGCUGCUUUAGGAUGAAAGGGUGGGGGAAUCAUUACUGAGCACCUUGGAUGGGCGACGUGCAGCCCUUUUAAUGUAACAUUGGGAGCCUUUGAUAAAUCAUCUGCCACAUAGUAUAUUUUAAGCCUGCCACCCUCCUCUCUCCCUCCCUCCAAUACUUCCCCAUCCUUUGGCCUCUCUACUACCCACUAAAGGGUGACCUCUUGAUUUCAAAUCAUACUUCCAUGUAACUGCUUUGAGGGUUUUGUUUUUAACAAUUGAGCGCUAUAUAAAU